GCUGGCGGCGUGCUUAACACAUGCAAGUCGAGCGGUAAGGCCCUUCGGGGUACACGAGCGGCGAACGGGUGAGUAACACGUGGGUGAUCUGCCUCGUACUCUGGGAUAAGCCUGGGAAACUGGGUCUAAUACCGGAUAUGACCACGAAUCGCAUGGUUUGUGGUGGAAAGAUUUAUCGGUGCGAGAUGGGCCCGCGGCCUAUCAGCUUGUUGGUGGGGUAAUGGCCUACCAAGGCGACGACGGGUAGCCGACCUGAGAGGGUGACCGGCCACACUGGGACUGAGACACGGCCCAGACUCCUACGGGAGGCAGCAGUGGGGAAUAUUGCACAAUGGGCGAAAGCCUGAUGCAGCGACGCCGCGUGAGGGAUGACGGCCUUCGGGUUGUAAACCUCUUUCGACAGGGACGAAGCGCAAGUGACGGYACCUGUAGAAGAAGCACCGGCCAACUACGUGCCAGCAGCCGCGGUAAUACGUAGGGUGCGAGCGUUGUCCGGAAUUACUGGGCGUAAAGAGCUUGUAGGCGGUUCGUCGCGUCGAUUGUGAAAACUUGCAGCUCAACUGCAAGCUUGCAGUCGAUACGGGCGGACUAGAGUACUUCAGGGGAGACUGGAAUUCCUGGUGUAGCGGUGAAAUGCGCAGAUAUCAGGAGGAACACCGGUGGCGAAGGCGGGUCUCUGGGAAGUAACUGACGCUGAGAAGCGAAAGCGUGGGUAGCGAACAGGAUUAGAUACCCUGGUAGUCCACGCCGUAAACGGUGGGUACUAGGUGUGGGUUUCCUUCCACGGGAUCCGUGCCGUAGCUAACGCAUUAAGUACCCCGCCUGGGGAGUACGGCCGCAAGGCUAAAACUCAAAGGAAUUGACGGGGGCCCGCACAAGCGGCGGAGCAUGUGGAUUAAUUCGAUGCAACGCGAAGAACCUUACCUGGGUUUGACAUACACCAGAAAGCCGUAGAGAUACGGCCCCCC
This 968-nucleotide ribosomal RNA is filed under the name Nocardia nova. Its description in RNAcentral is "bacterial SSU rRNA". It matches the Rfam family "Bacterial small subunit ribosomal RNA", at positions 35 to 1017 of the family's 1533-position model. The record is from RNAcentral. Lineage: Bacteria; Bacillati; Actinomycetota; Actinomycetes; Mycobacteriales; Nocardiaceae.